Molecule: ribosomal RNA, 324 nt
Filed under: uncultured eukaryote
Lineage: Eukaryota
Description: partial 18S ribosomal RNA
Rfam family: Eukaryotic small subunit ribosomal RNA
Source: RNAcentral
CCCUAAGAUGUUCUGGGCCGCACGCGCGCUACAAUGGAUGAUUCAGAAAGCCUUCCGCUGGGUCGACAGACUCGGCUAAACUUUUAAUGUCAUCCGUGAUUGGGAUUGUGGAUUGCAAUUUUUUCACAUGAACGAGGAAUUUCUAGUAAACGCGACUCAUCACGUCGCAUUGAUUACGUCCCUGCCCUUUGUACACACCGCCCGUCGCUACUACCGAUUGAAUCAUUCUACGAGGAGUUUGGAUUCGCGGUGACUCGCAGCAAUGCGACCAUCGUGUAGAAGAGCUUCUAGUAGGAUUAUUUAGAGGAAGUAAAAGUCGUAACA